CGGGGCGUAGCGCAGUCUGGUAGCGCAUCUGGUUUGGGACCAGAGGGUCGUAGGUUCAAAUCCUAUCGCCCCGACCA
RNAcentral lists this transfer RNA (77 nucleotides) under Rhodobacter ferrooxidans. Its description in RNAcentral is "Rhodobacter sp. SW2 tRNA-Pro". It matches the Rfam family "tRNA". Rfam says of the family: Transfer RNA (tRNA) molecules are approximately 80 nucleotides in length. Their secondary structure includes four short double-helical elements and three loops (D, anti-codon, and T loops). The record is from RNAcentral. Lineage: Bacteria; Pseudomonadati; Pseudomonadota; Alphaproteobacteria; Rhodobacterales.